UUCUGGUGCUGGUUGUUCGAU
This 21-nucleotide microRNA is filed under the name Salicornia europaea (common glasswort). RNAcentral describes it as "seu-miR11031". The record is from miRBase by way of RNAcentral. Lineage: Eukaryota; Viridiplantae; Streptophyta; Magnoliopsida; Caryophyllales; Amaranthaceae.